RNAcentral lists this unclassified non-coding RNA (214 nucleotides) under Plectosphaerella cucumerina. RNAcentral describes it as "partial internal transcribed spacer region". The stretch from base 1 to 46 matches the Rfam family "Eukaryotic small subunit ribosomal RNA", at positions 1786 to 1831 of the family's 1831-position model. Lineage: Eukaryota; Fungi; Ascomycota; Sordariomycetes; Glomerellales; Plectosphaerellaceae. The record is from RNAcentral.
AAGUCGUAACAAGGUCUCCGUUGGUGAACCAGCGGAGGGAUCAUUACUGAGUACUACACUCUCUACCCUUUGUGAACUAUUAUACCUGUUGCUUCGGCGGCGCCCGCAACGGUGCCCGCCGGUCUCAUCAGAAUCUCUGUUUUCGAACCCGACGAUACUUCUGAGUGUUCUUAGCGAACUGUCAAAACUUUUAACAACGGAUCUCUUGGCUCCA